Molecule: long non-coding RNA, 810 nt
Filed under: Hordeum vulgare
Lineage: Eukaryota; Viridiplantae; Streptophyta; Magnoliopsida; Poales; Poaceae
Description: long non-coding RNA (HVUL_LNC002312)
Source: RNAcentral
AGUAGUUUUACUAGCCUCCAAGUGGCAUUACCUAUUGCCCGCUGCUUAGCCAGGCAAGGCACAAUAUACAGAUUGGUCCCUCUGCAAACAUUGUUUUCAUAAUAUUAGAGACCUACAAAUUAAGCAACAUAUAUCAAACUAAAUAAAACUUAAUAAUGGGAGAUUUGGGACUUAUAAUACUUAGCUAAUUUGUUCGUCCAAUUUCAUAGUAGCACCACACACAAAGUUCAGUCACAUUUCGAAACGAGUCAAUGCUAAUUGAGAGGAAAAUGUUAGUGUAAGAAAAUCAAUAACACAAUGUUGAUCGCAUACUCUCAACUGUAGGGUAAAUGGAUCAUUAGUUUCAAAGAGAAAGUAUGUGCAGGAGCAACAAAACAGUGUUGAUAACCACUCUGGAAUGUACGGGUGUGCAAAGGUACGGAUUGCAACAAUUAUCUAUAAAAAAACCAGAUCAAUAAACUAUUGCAUCACAAAUAGGAGUAGUCUGCAUCAGGAAGGUAGACAUGUAGGUUGGUUUAUACGCUGUCUGUCUUAUCGCACACACAAAUGUUGUAUAAGCAUCAUCUGCAACUUACACUAGCAUUGUCCCUGAGUCUGCCAAAGUCGUAUAUCUAUUUGAAGGUAAAAGCGAGGGGUUAAGUAGCAGCCAUUGAAUAAAGAUAAGGUGGACCAUAUACUAGUGCGGUGCAUGGUGGUCAGUGAUAACCGACAAGUAUAGGGGAUCAAUUGUAGCCUUUCUCGAUAAGUAAGAGUAUCGAACCCAAUGAGGAGCUAAAGGUAGGACAAAUAUUCCCUCAAGUUCUAUCGACC